UUAAUUCGAUGCGACGCGAAAACCUUACCUACCCUUGACAUGCUAGGAACUUGCCAGAGAUGGCUUGGUGCCCGAAAGGGAACCUAGACACAGGUGCUGCACGGCUGUCGUCAGCUCGUGUCGUGAGAUGUUGGGUUAAGUCCCGCAACGAGCGCAACCCUUGUCAUUAAUUGCCAUCAUUCAGUUGGGCACUUUAAUGAGACUGCCGGUGACAAACCGGAGGAAGGUGGGGAUGACGUCAAGUCCUCAUGGCCCCUAUGGGUAGGGCUUCACACGUAAUACAAUGGUCGGUACAGAGGGUUGCCAACCCGCGAGGGGGAGCCAAUCCCAGAAAACCGAUCGUAGUCCGGAUUGCAGUCUGCAACUCGACUGCAUGAAGUCGGAAUCGCUAGUAAUCGCAGGUCAGCAUACUGCGGUGAAUACGUUCCCGGGUCUU
This 436-nucleotide ribosomal RNA is filed under the name uncultured Methylophilaceae bacterium. Its description in RNAcentral is "bacterial SSU rRNA". It matches the Rfam family "Bacterial small subunit ribosomal RNA", at positions 946 to 1382 of the family's 1533-position model. The record is from RNAcentral. Lineage: Bacteria; Pseudomonadati; Pseudomonadota; Betaproteobacteria; Nitrosomonadales; Methylophilaceae.